GGGAGACAAGAAGAGAGGUAAAAGGGAGGAGAGGAGAAGAGAUGAGAGAAGAUGCGAAGAGAAGGAAAGGAGAUGGAAAGAGAAGAGGGGGGAGAAGAUGCGAAGAGAAAGAAUGGAGAUGAAAGAGAAGAGGGGGAGAGGAGAAGAGAAGGGGGAAGAUGAGAGGAGAAGAAAGAAGCAGAGACCGAAAGAGAGGGUAGUAGCGGAAAAGAGAAUCCAAGCAUAUGGUGAUUAGCAACAGUCGAUGGCGUUGACAGCAGUUCAUUGUGAGUGGCAGCAAUGGCUAAGGCUCAUCUCCUCAAUACUCCUACGGGCUGCAGGAAAGAAGCAUUGAUCCAUGGCAAUGAAUGGCCAACCAGAAGAUUCGCAACACUCUCUCGUCGUGAGGGAUCAGGGCUCAUGCUCG
RNAcentral lists this long non-coding RNA (406 nucleotides) under Musa acuminata (dwarf banana). RNAcentral's name for it is "long non-coding RNA (MACU_LNC011405)". The record is from RNAcentral. Lineage: Eukaryota; Viridiplantae; Streptophyta; Magnoliopsida; Zingiberales; Musaceae.